UACGUAGGGUGCAAGCGUUGUCCGGAAUUAUUGGGCGUAAAGAGCUCGUAGGCGGUUUGUCGCGUCGAAUGUGAAAACCCGGGGCUCAACCCCGGGCCUGCAUUCGAUACGGGCAGACUAGAGUUCGGUAGGGGAGUCUGGAAUUCCUGGUGUAGCGGUGAAAUGCGCAGAUAUCAGGAAGAACACCAAUGGCGAAAGCAGCUUUCUGGGACGGUACUGACGCUGAGACGCGAAAGCGUGGGGAGCGAACAGG
This 253-nucleotide ribosomal RNA is filed under the name uncultured bacterium. Its description in RNAcentral is "partial 16S ribosomal RNA". It matches the Rfam family "Bacterial small subunit ribosomal RNA", at positions 524 to 776 of the family's 1533-position model. The record is from RNAcentral.